RNAcentral lists this ribosomal RNA (301 nucleotides) under uncultured bacterium. RNAcentral's name for it is "partial 16S ribosomal RNA". It matches the Rfam family "Bacterial small subunit ribosomal RNA", at positions 509 to 808 of the family's 1533-position model. The record is from RNAcentral.
CAGUAGCCACGGGAAUACGGGGGGGGCAAGUGUUAUUCGGAAUGACUGGGCGUAAAGGGCACGUAGGCGGUGAAAAGGGUGGAAAGUGAAAGUCGCCAAAACACUGGCGGGGUGCUUUCUUGACCAUUUCACUUGAGUGAGAUAGGGGAGAGUGGAAUUUCGUGUGGAGGGAUCAAAUCCUAAGAUAUACGAAGGAACGCCAACCGCGAAGGCAGCUCUCUGGGUCCCCACUGACGCUGGGGUGCGAAAGCAUGGGGAGCAAACAGGAUCAGAUACCCCGGUAGUCCCUGUCUCUUAUACA